RNAcentral lists this transfer RNA (74 nucleotides) under Candidatus Omnitrophica bacterium 4484_171. RNAcentral's name for it is "tRNA-Lys". It matches the Rfam family "tRNA". From Rfam's summary of the family: Transfer RNA (tRNA) molecules are approximately 80 nucleotides in length. Their secondary structure includes four short double-helical elements and three loops (D, anti-codon, and T loops). Further hydrogen bonds mediate the characteristic L-shaped molecular structure. tRNAs have two regions of fundamental functional importance: the anti-codon, which is responsible for specific mRNA codon recognition, and the 3' end, to which the tRNAs corresponding amino acid is attached (by aminoacyl-tRNA synthetases). tRNAs cope with the degeneracy of the genetic code in two manners: having more than one tRNA (with a specific anti-codon) for a particular amino acid; and 'wobble' base-pairing, i.e. permitting non-standard base-pairing at the 3rd anti-codon position. Lineage: Bacteria; Pseudomonadati; Candidatus Omnitrophota. The record is from RNAcentral. RNAcentral also lists the same sequence under 2 other names.
GGGCCGCUGGCUCAAUUUGGCAGAGCAACGGACUCUUAAUCCGUCGGUUGCAGGUUCAAGUCCUGCGCGGCCCA